Molecule: long non-coding RNA, 245 nt
Filed under: Lupinus angustifolius (narrow-leaved blue lupine)
Lineage: Eukaryota; Viridiplantae; Streptophyta; Magnoliopsida; Fabales; Fabaceae
Description: long non-coding RNA (LANG_LNC000503)
Source: RNAcentral
GAAUUUCGAGAAUUGACACUGGUAGUCAGUAUUGCGGGUAAAGAAUUGGCACAGGUAGCUGUAUUGUGGGAUUUUGAGAACUAACACUAGUAGUCAGUAUUGUGGGAAGAGAAUUGACACGGGUAGCCAUAUUGUGGGAAAUUUCUACAGUUACAACAAUUUUUCGUGAUGGCAUGGUUGAUAGUCUGCUUUCACAUUUUGGGCAGUGUCACGAAACGUCUUAAAGAGAGCGACCUGGUCAUGAC